RNAcentral lists this ribosomal RNA (548 nucleotides) under uncultured bacterium. Its description in RNAcentral is "partial 16S ribosomal RNA". It matches the Rfam family "Bacterial small subunit ribosomal RNA", at positions 358 to 898 of the family's 1533-position model. The record is from RNAcentral.
GGAAUCUUCCACAAUGGACGCAAGUCUGAUGGAGCAACGCCGCGUGAGUGAAGAAGGUUUUCGGACCGUAAAGCUCUGUUGUUGGUGAAGAAGGAUAGAGGUAGUAACUGGCCUUUAUUUGACGGUAAUCAACCAGAAAGUCACGGCUAACUACGUGCCAGCAGCCGCGGUAAUACGUAGGUGGCAAGCGUUGUCCGGAUUUAUUGGGCGUAAAGCGAGCGCAGGCGGAAGAAUAAGUCUGAUGUGAAAGCCCUCGGCUUAACCGAGGAAUUGCAUCGGAAACUGUUUUCUUGAGUGCAGAAGAGGAGAGUAGAACUCCAUGUGUAGCGGUGGAAUGCGUAGAUAUAUGGAAGAAUACCAGUGGCGAAGGCGGCUCUCUGGUCUGCAACUGACGCUGAGGCUCGAAAGCAUGGGUAGCGAACAGGAUUAGAUACCCUGGUAGUCCAUGCCGUAAACGAUGAGUGCUAAGUGUUGGGAGGCUUCCGCCUCUCAGUGCUGCAGCUAACGCAUUAAGCACUCCGCCUGGGGAGUACGACCGCAAGGUUGAA